CCUACGGGAGGCAGCAGUGAGGAAUAUUGGUCAAUGGUCGGAAGCCUGAACCAGCCAAGUAGCGUGCAGGAUGACGGCCCUACGGGUUGUAAACUGCUUUUAUACGGGAAUAACGCGCCUUACGUGUCGUGCUUUGUAUGUACCGUAUGAAUAAGGACCGGCUAAUUCCGUGCCAGCAGCCGCGGUAAUACGGAAGGUCCGGGCGUUAUCCGGAUUUAUUGGGUUUAAAGGGAGCGUAGGCCGCAUGUCAAGCGUGCUGUGAAAUGCCGGGGCUCAACCCGGGCCUUGCGGCGCGAACUGGCGUGCUUGAGUGCGCGGAAGGCAGGCGGAAUUCGUCGUGUAGCGGUGAAAUGCUUAGAUAUGACGAAGAACCCCGAUUGCGAAGGCAGCUUGCGGCAGCGGAACUGACGCUGAUGUUCGAAAGCGCGGGUAUCGAACAGGAUUAGAUACCCCGGUAGUC
RNAcentral lists this ribosomal RNA (460 nucleotides) under uncultured bacterium. Its description in RNAcentral is "partial 16S ribosomal RNA". It matches the Rfam family "Bacterial small subunit ribosomal RNA", at positions 338 to 795 of the family's 1533-position model. The record is from RNAcentral.